RNAcentral lists this ribosomal RNA (820 nucleotides) under Hydnellum sulcatum. RNAcentral's name for it is "SSU rRNA". It matches the Rfam family "Eukaryotic small subunit ribosomal RNA", at positions 226 to 1052 of the family's 1831-position model. The record is from RNAcentral. Lineage: Eukaryota; Fungi; Basidiomycota; Agaricomycetes; Thelephorales; Thelephoraceae.
AUGCGGUUCGCCGCUCAUUGGUGAUUCAUAAUAACUGUCGAAUCGCACGGCUUGCGCUGGCGAUGCUUCAUUCAAAUAUCUGCCCUAUCAACUUUCGAUGGUAGGAUAGUGGCCUACCAUGGUUUCUACGGGUAACGGGGAAUAAGGGUUCGAUUCCGGAGAGGGAGCUGAGAAACGGCUACCACAUCCAAGGAAGGCAGCAGGCGCGCAAAUUACCCAAUCCCGACACGGGGAGGUAGUGACAAUAAAUAACAAUAUAGGGCCCUUUCGGGUCUUAUGAUUGGAAUGAGCACAAUUUAAAUCCCUUAACGAGGAACAAUUGGAGGGCAAGUCUGGUGCCAGCAGCCGCGGUAAUUCCAGCUCCAAUAGCGUAUAUUAAAGUUGUUGCAGUUAAAAAGCUCGUAGUUGAACUUCAGAGCUGGCCGGAUGGUCUGCCUAACGGUAUGUACUGUCUUCGGCUGGCUCUUACCUCUUGGUGAGCCAUCAUGCCCUUUGCUGGGUGUGGUGGGGAACCAGGACGUUUACCUUGAGAAAAUUAGAGUGUUCAAAGCAGGCAUAUGCCCGAAUACAUUAGCAUGGAAUAAUAAAAUAGGACGUGCGGUUCUAUUUUGUUGGUUUCUAGAGUCGCCGUAAUGAUUAAUAGGGAUAGUUGGGGGCAUUAGUAUUCAGUCGCUAGAGGUGAAAUUCUUGGAUUGACUGAAGACUAACUACUGCGAAAGCAUUUGCCAAGGAUGUUUUCAUUAAUCAAGAACGAAGGUUAGGGGAUCGAAAACGAUCAGAUACCGUUGUAGUCUUAACAGUAAACUAUGCCGACUAGGGA